CAUUUUUCCAAUAAGUAAAUUGAAUUAAUGCGGAAUUUAUAAGAUUUCUAUUUUACAGUUAAAUAAAAUAAAUUAUUAUGUACGCUUCCAUGGCUUUGGAUCCUCAUAAUCAUUGUUGCGGCGGCCGUGCUUGGUGUGUGAAGGAUAUAUGCGGUGUUUGCUGUGUGUUGUUGACAUGGCUUUUAAUAUUGUUUGCUGAAUUUGUAGUAAUGCGAGUUAUUCUCUGGCCAAGUCCACAUCCACUAUUUAGCACGGCGAAUAUUGCAAUAUUUCAAAUGUUGGCAUUUUUAGCAUUUGCUUCACAUAUUCGUACGAUGCUAUCCGAUCCGGGCGCUGUUCCACGUGGUAAUGCCACGAAAGAAAUGAUAGAACAGAUGGGAUAUCGUGAGGGUCAAAUGAUAUUUAAAUGUCCGAAAUGUUGUAGCAUUAAACCUGAACGUGCUCAUCAUUGCUCAGUUUGUCAACGAUGUAUACGUAAAAUGGAUCAUCACUGUCCUUGGGUGAAUAAUUGUGUCGGUGAAAAUAAUCAAAAAUAUUUUGUAUUAUUCACGUUUUACAUUGCAUCGAUAUCGGUUCAUGCUAUAUUUUUGGUAAUAACGUCGUUAGCUGAAUGCGUUAAAAAUGAAUGGCGUCAGUGCUCACCGUACACUCCACCCACUACUAUCAUUCUCUUAUUGUUCCUAAUUUUCGAAGCUUUACUCUUUGCCAUCUUCACUAUAAUCAUGCUUGCCUCGCAGCUAACCGCUAUUCUCAAUGAUCAAACGGGUAUUGAGCAACUGAAAAAAGAGGCUCGCUGGGCGAAAAAAUCACGUCUUAAAAGCAUACAAUCGGUUUUUGGCCGUUUUUCAUUGGCAUGGUUUUCUCCAUUUACGAAACCAUCGAAUAAAUCAGGCUUUAAUACCCAUUUUUAUUCCGUAUAGAGAUGAAAUUGUUGUUUGUCUUUACUACUGAUAAGUUUCAUUAUUGUGAUUGUGAGUGCGAUAAUUAAGAAAAGAUAUUUUUGGAAAGUUGAAAAAAAAUCUUGUAAUCUAAUAUUUAUACUUAUUAUAUUUAAGACGUAAUUACUUUAAGAAAAUUGUUGUCUAAAAACUAGGUUGACAUCCUGAUUGAUCGAGUUUAAUAUGUAUAUAUGCAUAUGUACAAAUGAAUAAUGAACAAAUUAUUGUUUACGAUAAAGUAUAAAUAAGAAAGAAAAUUGAUAUAUAAAAUUCUUUGCUAAGCAUCCCGGAAACGGUGGAUGUCGGAGUAAAAGUAAAGUAUUUUUAUUUUAAUUUAACAGCAUGUUCAAUUCAAAUCGUUUCUAGCGGCAAAGUGCAAUUGAAUACUCAUGCUCUUUAUUUAGAUUCAGAUUUUUGUUUUGCUUUAAGAAUAACAAUACGAAAAAUAUUGUACUCACUGGCCAUUUACUGCUCUGAAUAUAUAUUGCUAGACACCCCUUCAAAAAAAAACAAAGAUUAGAUCAAAAUGUAUGGGUGCUGCUGCCGCUGCAAUUUUUUCGAAUAUUUACCGGCCGUGUGUUCAGUCUGAGGAAAACUGUCGGAGAUCCAGGUACGUUAUCUGGACGAACGCGUGUGUUAGUACUUCAUCGAAUAUUUAUUUAUAUACAUAUACUUCGACAUAUA
Molecule: RNA transcript, 1622 nt
Organism: Glossina fuscipes
Lineage: Eukaryota; Metazoa; Arthropoda; Insecta; Diptera; Glossinidae
Gene name: palmitoyltransferase ZDHHC3
Exons: 5
Source: RefSeq, a predicted model, not a curated record